GUUUUGUUAGCUGAAGCAGAUUGCAAGGCCCAAAGCGACAAAGGUACUAAAAAUGAAGUUGUUGAAAUAACGUUCUCAAAAAACAAGUGUUCAAUAUCAUGUCAUAUAGACAAAGACAAGGCAAAGACAAUAUAUUUUAUGAAGUUAUUGAAGCAGACAAAUGGCUCAUUUUACGAUGUUCUACAUCGCCGUCGUAUUGGUGAAACAAAAAAUACAAAAUUAUUCAAUUGUACAGAUAUGCAAUCUAGAUCUUCACACAAAGGAUCAAAUAUUGAUAAAGCCACAUUAGUGUUCAAAUUAGAUACAGAUUACCUAAGGGAUACAGAUAAUUCGCUGUACAAGUGUGAAAUAGAUUCUGAGUCGUACACGGGAAUUCAAUGGAACACGGCGAAUAUAGAUUGGACAGGUAUAUUUUUUCAUAUGUAUGCAUGUUUAGACCUCAAGAAUAUAACUAAGAUAUGCGUAGCAUAGUUUUUGAUGCUUGAACAAUUAAAGGAAUAAGAAAAUAACGGCUCUCAUUUUGCACAAAUGUAGGAUAUAUGAAAAAAAGAAAAUAAAAAUCAGUUUUAAACGUGUCCUACAUGUCGUACAAGUUAGAAGUUUAGCUAGUAUAAAACACGGUUAAAUUCACCAUUAUCAACAUAAGAAAAAUGUCAGGUGUGUGACGUGUUUGAGCUUUUGAUUUUGCAGUUCGUUUAGGGACUUCGGUUUUAAAUUUUGCUCAGCGUUUAGUAUUUUUGUUAUUUUACAUUUAAUCCUCUAAUGAAAUGACACUAUGAACAGCGAUCACCAAUAUGGAUGAAGGUCUUGGCGUUUACUUGUACAGAAUUAAUCAAACUUUCGAAACCUUAAAAUUAGAGGUGUAUUCCAGUUGACAACGUGUGCAUUGACGCGUAUUUGACCUUUGUACUCUAAAAUUGCUACUAAGUACCUUGAUCUAUAUUAUUGUAAUUGUCUAACAUCUUUUAACGAACAAACUAUAUGAAUGAUUGUUUAAAACAAUUAAAGGUAUAUAUUGAGGCGUUAGACACGGGGAAGAAUGCGGAAGAAGAUUAAAUGAUUACCACACACUACACUGCUGAUACCUCUAAUAAUAGACCUAUCAGUUUAAAUAAGUCACGAUUAUAUUCUUUAGAAAUCAAUGUUUGUAUCGUUGAAAAUAUAUUAAAAAUUUGAACAAAGAUAACAUGUCAGUUUUUGAUGUAAGCUUUAUUUGCAUAUGGGAAAACAACACUUAGCCCUGUGCAUUGUUUAUUCAAUAUAACUUUUUUUUCAGAUAAAUUGGUCAUCAAAUAAUCUAUAAAACACCUACAUGUGUUGCAAAUAUAACUGUGUAACUUUUUUGCAAGGAUUAUUUACAGGAGUUGCGAAAGAUAACACAGGAACAUUCAAACUCAUAAGUCAAAAGUGACCUGACAAAUCUAAAAAUAAAAAAAAGACAAACAAAGAAUCACACAAACAGGUCACAAAUCAUAACAUAGCGUUUUCGUAGUUGGAAUUAGUCCUUUGUCAAUAAUUUAGGCCUGUAAUGUAUAUAAUAAGGACUAGAAACUUCCAGUUAGAUUUUCGGUAGUAUGUGUGACAUAUAUCUUACUGUUUACGGGAGUUUUUUUCCGAACAAUAAUUAUUUAAACUAUCGUCUCGACCACUUGAAUUUUAUAGGUUGUGUCGACAGGCAUGCUGAAUCAGAGUCUAUAUGUACAAAAUCAUCUUUAUUAUCCACCCUUGUAAUAUUUUUGUAUGUCGUGGUUUCAUGAUGUGUUGCAGCGCUGUGUCCUUUAAAA
RNAcentral lists this long non-coding RNA (1784 nucleotides) under Mytilus galloprovincialis (Mediterranean mussel). The record is from RNAcentral. Lineage: Eukaryota; Metazoa; Mollusca; Bivalvia; Mytilida; Mytilidae.